ACAACUUUCGCGUACACGCUGAAGAGAAGGAGUGCGGUUAGAAGAGACAACAAACGUAUGAUGCAACAUCUAACGGAUGCAGAGACGGACACGGAGAGGCGGAGACGUUGAUUAGCAUUUGAUGGAAAUAUGCAACAACCCAGAAAUAUUGAAGAGUUCUCUAUCUGCUUUGCAAGAAGGUCAGGUCGAGAACAUCGGAGAGUAAGAGGUAGCUCUUGUCCAGGUAGUGACUAGACAUGGAGACCGAACAUCAUUUGGUGACAUCCCUUUUGUGAAUUCAAGUCAUUUCGUUGUCCAAAUGGCUAUCAGUGUUUCCUUAACAAAGCAACAUGGAAGAAAUACUUAAGUACACAACUAACGUCAAAUGGUUGCAAACAGCAUCAACUUUUACGUAAACAUUUUCAGACAGUCUAUCAUUUUGAACCUAAACAACUGACAGCAUGAAUGUUGUUACUAAGUUCCAGCUAUCAGAAGACCAUCUACAGUGCUCGAUGUCUAGUAUUUGGCCUUCUUAAUAAUUUUCAUUAUGAGAAAAUGUUUCUCUCAAAUUAUCAACAUAUCCUGAUUCGAGAAACAGUUUCGCAGGCAGCCAAGUCUACUUUAGCCUGCCUUGGUAUAAAAGUGUUUGGAGAAUGAACUACGCUCUCAGCCAAAUUUUUCAGAUUGAAACACAAGUGGAAACAUGUGAAGUUCUACGAGGGAUUAGUACGUCGCUUUUGUCAUUAUUCACCUGAUCGGUCGGAAUCGAUUACGCCACGCUUAUCUAAUCAGCGCUUUCCACUUCGUCUAGCAAAAAAUAAAUUGUACAGGCAGUAGGCCAGAAAAUCUGAACAUCAUGUGAUAAAAAAAGUAUCUCUUCUCAAAUACGACCAUUCUUGACUACUAUUGUUUACAAUAUGCGUCGAUGGAUGAGAGGUUACGCAAACACCAAUUUUUACUCUACUCAGGCCAUGACAUAACAAUAGUCCGCCUAUAGACAGCUCUCGGUGCGUUUGAUGGACAUCGACCAAGAUAUGCAGCUAGAGUUGUAUUUGAACUGUGGAGAAGUAAUGAAUCUGAGAAUAAGACAUUAGUGAGAACUUUGUAUAAUGGAUGGCUUAUUCAAUCACAUCUUGCUCAGAGAGUGCUGUCAGGUGACUUGAGGAGCAAGAGCUCUUACAUCUUUGGAUGUCUUCGUAAAUCUUGAUACUCUUAGGUAGAUGGUGUUAGCAUAUUUCUUUGAUUUUCCUGUCAGUAAGUUUGCUACUUGGUUAUGAAUGAUAGUUCUUUAGAUUUGGACGAGUGUAUGCUUCUGCACAUAAAAUACAGGUUUUUCUCAAAC
This is a long non-coding RNA of Corticium candelabrum, 1321 nucleotides long. RefSeq lists it as uncharacterized. The record is from RefSeq and is a predicted model, not a curated record. The transcript is spliced from 3 exons. NCBI's taxonomy places the organism in Eukaryota, Metazoa, Porifera, Homoscleromorpha, Homosclerophorida, Plakinidae.